This is a long non-coding RNA of Scatophagus argus, 1420 nucleotides long. RefSeq lists it as uncharacterized. Lineage: Eukaryota; Metazoa; Chordata; Actinopteri; Scatophagidae. The record is from RefSeq and is a predicted model, not a curated record. The transcript has 3 exons.
CGAGGUGCUCCCCGUGAGUCGACUGGCGGCAAAUGAAAUGUCCUCGGGCGUUUUUCAGUUGCUUUUUAUGCAGGGCUUCCUGUGGAACGCAGGAAUUGGAUGGACAAUCCCAAACCGGAAUUCCUGUUGUUCCCAAGCUCCUCUCACAGUGGGGAUUCACAGAUGGUAGAUGGAUAGUUUGAGUCCUGCUUCUGAUCAAGUUGCAGUUCAGCUUUGGCUCAGGAGGACCGUGAUCAGGAGGCGGCUCUGUAGCUCAGGUCAGCCUCAGGUUACCUGUUUGAAGAAUCUGCGACCCCCCAGUUCAGUGUGUGUUUAUUUAGCUUUUAACUCACUCACUACACACACCCAAGCAAACAAGACUGAAAGGGCUGGUUAUCUUGAAGGUCACCACACAGGUGUGUUUGGCUGUUCCUGUCCUUUCACUGUUUCUUCUCGUGAAACACAGACUUUUUUGUCUCAGCUGUCCCCUUGAACCGCUCGGCAGCCUUUGUUUGGUUUUGGUCAUGUGACCUCAGGGCUCCUCACAGGCUGGAGUCAUUCAAAAAAAUCAAACACAUUUAUAAUCUCUAUUAUAUUUACUUGCCGUGUAGCCAUAAAACUGGCUAUUAAUCAUGUUUUAUGUGUUUGUAAUGCCUCAUAGUUUUUUUUUUGAUUGAAGUUACAGCUGAAGGACUUUAACUCAAAUUUGUCUUGUUGUAAAAAUAAUACUUAACACCACCUUUCAGCUUCAGUGCUUUUGCAGGCGUACCGGACUGAUUCGCUUGUACCAUUUUAAGGAUCAUUUUGUAGCCUGAAGUGACGUACUGAUAAAACCGCGUGUUCGAUUUUGUUUAAAACAAAAGCUUCAGUUAUAGUUGACUAAAACGGUGUGUGCUUUUCCUUUCCUUUUUCGUUCUUGAUGAUGCCUCACGUUGACUCUAUCAUCCCUGAUUACCAUAUGCAGGUAAGGGUGUGAAGGGUUACGCAGUCUUCGAUGUGAGUGAGAAUGUUGUUAUGCAGUACGGUAAAGGAUUUCUGGCAUCGGCUCAGCUUGAACCUCACAGCUCCCUCAUCAGGUUUUACGACUGUCAUCCAGGCAUGUGGGUCCUGUUCGUCAGCCUCUCAGCUCCCUGGAGGUUCGCUGGCUAAACUUCACACUUGCUCUGUUGUAAUCAGUGGAGCCGAAUGUGUUCGCCAAUGGGACACAUCCACAGUGGACAUUAUGUUCAGGUUCACGUUCUGAAUUCACUGUGAAGUCAGAAGACAUUUCGAUUAUUUAUAAUGUUAUGAGAAUAAUAAAUUCUACCUCAACAAAUAAUACACAGAGCAAUAAGAAAAGGUUGUGCAAAUAUUUUAUAUUUCAUGUUUUUUUUUUUAAAGAAAACAAAAACCUUCAGUUUCUGGCACAGCAGCUUUGAGCAUAUUUCCUCUUAAUGUUAGC